GGGCCUCUGUCACUCUUUAUCUUGACAUUCUAAACCUGUUCCUUUCCAUCUUGAGGAUUCUGAAGGAGGCAAACAAUUAGUCAUCCUAUGUAAAUUGAGGUUGACCAAAAAUAAGUGAAACUACUUUGUUGCAUGGCAUCUUUGUGAUGCUCUAGUAAGCAUUAUGAAGAUAUAUACAAUGCUUCUGUAGUAUUUCUUUACAGUUGACAGACAGCACUUUUGGUGAGAUGGAAAAUUUGUAGGUUUACAAUUGUAUUUAAGUGUGAUAUAAGAAUCUCAUCUGGGAUUUAUUAUUUUAACUUUGAAUUUAAUGCUCUCUCUCUUUCUCUCUAUAGUAUAUAUACACACACUAUAUAAUAAUAAUAUAA
This 368-nucleotide long non-coding RNA is filed under the name Trifolium pratense (red clover). Its description in RNAcentral is "long non-coding RNA (TPRA_LNC003704)". Lineage: Eukaryota; Viridiplantae; Streptophyta; Magnoliopsida; Fabales; Fabaceae. The record is from RNAcentral.